CCUCCGGGAGGCAGCAGUGGGGGAUAUUGCACCAUGGGGGAAACCCUGAUGCAGCGACGCCGCGUGGGUGCAGAAGCGCCUCGGCGCGUACAGCCCUGUCAGCAGGGAAGAAAAUGACGGUACCUUAAGAAGAAGCCCCGGCUAACUACGUGCCAGCAGCCGCGGUAAUACGUAGGGGGCACGCGUUAUCCGGAUUUACUGGGUGUAAAGGGGGCGCAGACGGCGAUGCAAGCCAGGAGUGAAAGCCCGGGGCCCAACCCCGGGACUGCUGUUGGAACUGCGUGGCUAGAGUGCAGGAGGGGCAGGCGGAAUUCCUGGUGUAGCGGUGAAAUGCGUAGAUAUCAGGAGGAACACCGGUGGCGAAGGCGGCCGGCUGGACUGCAACUGACGUUGAGGCCCGAAAGCGUGGGGAGCAAACAGGAUUAGAUACCCCUGUAGUC
RNAcentral lists this ribosomal RNA (440 nucleotides) under uncultured bacterium. Its description in RNAcentral is "partial 16S ribosomal RNA". It matches the Rfam family "Bacterial small subunit ribosomal RNA", at positions 338 to 795 of the family's 1533-position model. The record is from RNAcentral.